AAUACAGGCUGCAGUAGAUUGACACUGGAUUUUUUGGCAUCAACAAAGAAGUUUGUGUUUAGGCUUUGAAGGAGUUCACUGUGGUUGCUGCAGAACAAUCUCGUAUCCUUGACAGCACUAUACACCGCAGUUGGUAAAAAUACGGAUUCGCUGGCCUUAUAUUUUGGUGAGGACCCUAUGAGCUGCCCAUUCGAACAAGUCGUCUCUACUCUUCUUAAUUUUGUACUGUUGUUUCGGAGGACACACGAGAUGGACUGCAAGCAGGCUGAGCUCGAGAAGAAGAAAGCUCCGAAAGAAGCCGAGGAGAAGUCAA
Molecule: long non-coding RNA, 313 nt
Organism: Zingiber officinale
Lineage: Eukaryota; Viridiplantae; Streptophyta; Magnoliopsida; Zingiberales; Zingiberaceae
Exons: 3
Source: RefSeq, a predicted model, not a curated record